CUAUCCAACCUUCCGUACACUCAGGGAUAGCCUUUCGAAAGAAAGAUUAAUACCUGAUGGUAUGACGAGAUUGCAUGAUAGCAUCAUUAAAGAUUUAUCGGUGUACGAUGGGGAUGCGUUCCAUUAGGUAGUAGGCGGGGUAACGGCCCACCUAGCCAACGAUGGAUAGGGGUUCUGAGAGGAAGGUCCCCCACAUUGGAACUGAGACACGGUCCAAACUCCUACGGGAGGCAGCAGUGAGGAAUAUUGGUCAAUGGACGAGAGUCUGAGCCAGCCAAGUAGCGUGAAGGAUGAAGGUCUUACGGAUUGUAAACUUCUUUUAUAUGGGAAUAAACCCUCCCACGUGUGGGAGCUUGUAUGUACCUUAUGAAUAAGCAUCGGCUAACUCCGUGCCAGCAGCCGCGGUAAUACGGAGGAUGCGAGCGUUAUCCGGAUUUAUUGGGUUUAAAGGGAGCGCAGACGGGUCGUUAAGUCAGCUGUGAAAGUUUGGGGCUCAACCUUAAAAUUGCAGUUGAUACUGGCGUCCUUGAGUGCGGUUGAGGUGUGCGGAAUUCGUGGUGUAGCGGUGAAAUGCUUAGAUAUCACGAAGAACUCCGAUUGCGAAGGCAGCACACUAAUCCGUAACUGACGUUCAUGCUCGAAAGUGUGGGUAUCAAACAGGAUUAGAUACCCUGGUAGUCCACACGGUAAACGAUGGAUACUCGCUGUUGGCGAUAUACUGUCAGCGGCUUAGCAAAAGCGUUAAGUAUCCCACCUGGGGAGUACGCCGGCAA
This 773-nucleotide ribosomal RNA is filed under the name uncultured Bacteroidota bacterium. RNAcentral's name for it is "bacterial SSU rRNA". It matches the Rfam family "Bacterial small subunit ribosomal RNA", at positions 117 to 891 of the family's 1533-position model. The record is from RNAcentral. Lineage: Bacteria; Pseudomonadati; Bacteroidota.